AUUCCCACGGGAGGCAGCAGUGGGGAAUAUUGCACAAUGGGGGAAACCCUGAUGCAGCGACGCCGCGUGAGUGAAGAAGAAUUUCGGUAUGUAAAGCUCUAUCAGCAGGGAAGAAAAUGACGGUACCUGACUAAGAAGCCCCGGCUAACUACGUGCCAGCAGCCGCGGUAAUACGUAGGGGGCAAGCGUUAUCCGGAUUUACUGGGUGUAAAGGGAGCGUAGGCGGCAAGGGAAGCCAGAAGUGAAAG
Molecule: ribosomal RNA, 248 nt
Filed under: uncultured bacterium
Lineage: Bacteria
Description: partial 16S ribosomal RNA
Rfam family: Bacterial small subunit ribosomal RNA
Source: RNAcentral